GAUUUUUUGAUAGAGGUGAAUCAAGCUUCAAACUCUGGGUUUAUAAAACUGCUCUGGCUAUGUACGUCCUUCAAAACCUUCUGGUUUCAUUGGUCGGCUCAACGUACGUAGCGUAUAAAAUCACAACGGUUUCGGAACUUGAUAUAAAGAUGGACAAACAGAAUCUACAUGGAGCGAAGUCGGUCGUGGAUUUGAUUUUGUUAAUAACCAACAACGCACUUCGUUAUUUUAUCGCAGAAUUUUUCCUGUCUAAGUUGUUUAAUGAAGAUUUGGAUAUACUGGGAGGGAACUCAGGGAAGACUAUUGAAGAAAGUAUCGGUGUACGCAUCCAACGAGGAUGGGAUGAUGAUCAUGUAUUUGAUGGAAUAGACCCUUAACUCUUGUACCAUGCUAUAGGAGAUUUUAAUCGACAGACAAUAGACCAUAUGUAUAAAGAGGUCAGAAGGCUUGAUGGCCGGGAAGAAUGCUGGUCUUAGUAGUCAUCGCCUGGAAUAUUAAUUUAAACAAUUCAAAAUGGCCACUAUCGAAAUUUUCCCGGGCGAUGACUACUAAAGGCAAUUUUCCAUUGCAGUCACUUUACCCGCGCGGGCGGAGCGAGCUUUGAAAAUCUGCUCACGCGGGCAUGUUGUGCGUCAAAAACAAAAAACGCUUCCCCCGUGCGGGCAAAGUGAAGGUUAACGGAAAACGGCCUUAAACCAGUAUUCUUUGCGGGCAUCAAGCCUUGUGACGACACUAUGCAUAAGGUCAAUUGGCGCGAAGUAGUGUACAUACUCGCCAGUUACAUAUUAUACUGUUCUACUUUUAAAAUGUCUGCGAUGGCAAUUCCUUUAAUUAUAUAGAAUCAGAAGGAAUUAUUAUACCUGAACGUGGAAAAAGCAUUCAUUACAAAUAGGCCUACAAAUCGUUCCCAGAUUGUAUUAAUUAACAGAACUCAUUCCUCCUCCAAACUUGUUAUCUCUGGAGCACCCGAGGGAUCUAUUCUAGGUUCAGUUUUAUUUCUGCUAUACAUAAAUGAUAUUUCUAGCAAUAUUCAAUCAAGUCUAAGUGUCUUCGCUGAUGACUCUCUUCGCUGAGACCACCAUGCAGGAUCAUCAAAUUCUACAAAACGAAAUAGACUGUCUAUCAUCUUGGGCCGAUUGCUGGCAGAUUAAAUUCAAUAUGUGCAACAAAAUAUUUAGGGGUCACCUUUACUAGUACAUUGCGCUGGAAUGAACACUG
This is a non-coding RNA of Paramuricea clavata, 1218 nucleotides long. Lineage: Eukaryota; Metazoa; Cnidaria; Anthozoa; Malacalcyonacea; Plexauridae. The record is from the annotation of a GenBank genome assembly.